CCCCAGCGCCACAAGUGGGGAUCGGUUUUAUUUGGUCUAAAGCGUCCGUAGCAGGUCUUGUAAAUUUUUUGUGAAUUUGUUGCGCUCAACGCAACACACUGCAGAAAAGACUGCAAGACUUGGGAUUGGGAGGAGUAAGCAGUAUUCUCGGGGGAGCGGUAAAAUGUUAUAAUCCCGAGAGGACUACCUGUGCCGAAGGGGGCUUACUAGUACAAAUUCGACUGUGAGGGACGAAAGCUAGGGGAGCGAAAAG
RNAcentral lists this ribosomal RNA (253 nucleotides) under uncultured archaeon. RNAcentral's name for it is "partial 16S ribosomal RNA". It matches the Rfam family "Archaeal small subunit ribosomal RNA", at positions 474 to 726 of the family's 1478-position model. The record is from RNAcentral.